UAGUUGAAAUAAGUUUAAUUGCAAUAUGAUUAUGAAAGUUGUAAUAAAUUCCUAACAUAAAAAUAUAAAUAAUUUUAAAAAACUAAGUAUUCUAAAAAAAAAUAAAAUAAGUGUAUUCACUUGCAAUUUGAAUGGGGCUCUUUAGUUGAGUUAUUAUUAAAUAUGUUUAAUCUAAAAGCCCGACCCAAAAAGGUAUUGGCUCUAGGGUUUCAGAUUGAGUAGUUUUAACACAUAGAAGAAGCUUAUCGCCAAUUCCUUCUGAUUCUCAUCUCUCCCUCCCUUUGACUAUUAUCAGCACGGAGGUCUGCCGAAUGGUGGUUCUUGCUGGCGGCCCUUGUCCAUAUGGCCACUUGCGAUUUCUGCCAUUCCCUCACUGAUCAGGUACCCUAUACCUCUUUUUGACUUUACGGUACAAGGAGUAACAUCGAUGUCUGUUGAUGUACACAAGUAUGGAUUGACUCCAAAAGGAACAAGUGUGGUCCUAUACAAGAACCAUGAAAUUCGAAAGAAAAGCACUUACAUAAAUUAUGGAAAGCAGGAAAUGUACUGGUAUCAAUUGCUAACAUAUUGUAUACUAUAUGUUGUAUUGAGCCUUCCUGCAUUGAAUUUCGGCAAGCUGUGUCUUCAGUUUUAUGGUAGCAAAGUUCUGUUGUUUUUCACCUUAGUGAAAAAUUGAUUAUUGAACGGGCUUUAAGAGUUGAGUGGGACAACACAAUAUGUUUUGUUAAUUCCGUAUCUUUUGUGAUCGUGCUAGUUUUUGGUGGUUUAAAUCUUAUAGACUUUUUUCUCAUUCAUUCUUUAUUCUUCUCUAUACAAAUGGGGGUGGAUUAUAAUUGGCUUAUGCUCUUAACUGAGUUAACAUUGGUUGCAAAGAGCAUCAAUUUGUUGCAGGUAAAUUAUUGCACUUAAACAAAAUACUAGUGGAGUACUUGGUCUAUAUGUGACAUCCUAUAACUGUUUAUAUAUUUUGCCUCUUCUAUAAUUACUGAGUGGGCUGGAGGACCUUACGUUUCUCCAACAAUAGCGGGAAGCCGGCCUGGAAAUUUGAUUGCAGGUGCUUGGGGCUGCAAUGAUGGCUAUAGGUUUAGAAGGCUACUUGGAGAAUACACGAGAGGGUAGGUGUAUGAGUUAUAUACAUUAUGAAGUGAACCUCUAAAAGAAUACAGAGAGGAGUACAAAACAUCCAUGAGUUGUCCAUCAUUGGAAGACCUGACAUGACAAUAGUGGCUUUUGGGUCCAAUGUUGUGGACAUAUUUGAAGUCAACGACAUUAUGUCUUCAAAGGACUGGCAUUUGAAUGCAUUGCAGAAACACUAGCAUAAAGCCAGAUUGACUUAGUUUAGUUAUGCUUAAAUUUUUUUUUUUAUAUAAGACAGAUUUUCCCACAUCGCUACUUUAAAUAUAAAAUAGUAUGUAUAUAACUAAUUAGAAUUCAUAGUA
Molecule: long non-coding RNA, 1439 nt
Organism: Impatiens glandulifera
Lineage: Eukaryota; Viridiplantae; Streptophyta; Magnoliopsida; Ericales; Balsaminaceae
Exons: 6
Source: RefSeq, a predicted model, not a curated record